This 358-nucleotide ribosomal RNA is filed under the name Lentisphaera araneosa HTCC2155. Its description in RNAcentral is "bacterial SSU rRNA". It matches the Rfam family "Bacterial small subunit ribosomal RNA", at positions 1188 to 1533 of the family's 1533-position model. The record is from RNAcentral. Lineage: Bacteria; Pseudomonadati; Lentisphaerota; Lentisphaeria; Lentisphaerales; Lentisphaeraceae.
AGUCAGUAUGGCCCUUACACCCGGGGCUGCACACGUGCUACAAUGGCCGGUACAAAGGGCAGCGACAUAGUGAUAUGGAGCGAAUCCCCAAAACCGGUCUCAGUACGGAUUGGAGUCUGCAACUCGACUCCAUGAAGAUGGAAUCGCUAGUAAAUGGGCAUCAGCUACGGCUCAUUGAAUACGUUCCCGGGCCUUGUACACACCGCCCGUCACAUCAUGGGAGCUGAGUUCACCCGAAGUCGUUGCGCCAACCUGCUUGCAGGAGGCAGACGCCGAAGGUGGGCUUAGUGACUGGGAUGAAGUCGUAACAAGGUAGCCGUUGGGGAACCAGCGGCUGGAUCACCUCCUUUUUAAGGAA